RNAcentral lists this ribosomal RNA (775 nucleotides) under uncultured Neocallimastigales. Its description in RNAcentral is "partial large subunit ribosomal RNA". It matches the Rfam family "Eukaryotic large subunit ribosomal RNA", at positions 24 to 616 of the family's 3401-position model. Lineage: Eukaryota; Fungi; Neocallimastigomycota; Neocallimastigomycetes; Neocallimastigales. The record is from RNAcentral.
UGUAGUCUCGCACAGAUGCAUAUCAAUAAGCGGAGGAAAAGAAACUAACAAGGAUUCCCUUAGUAACGGCGAGUGAAGCGGGAAGAGCUCAAAUUUGAAAUCUUCAAGGUUUUACCUUGACGAAUUGUAGUUUAAAGAAGUGUUUUCUGUUGAAGUUUUGGUAAAAGUUCUUUGGAAUAGGACAUCAUAGAGGGUGAGAAUCCCGUAUUUGACCAUUAUUUUCAGCUGUGUGAUACACUUUCAAAGAGUCGGAUUGUUUGGGAAUGCAGUCCAAAAUGGGUGGUAAAUUUCAUCUAAAGCUAAAUAUUGGCGAGAGACCGAUAGCGAACAAGUACCGUGAGGGAAAGAUGAAAAGAACUUUGAAAAGAGAGUUAAACAGUACGUGAAAUUGUCAAAAGGGAAGCGUUUGACACCAGUGUUGUUUUCUCGAAAAUCAAUUAAAAAGAGUUAGAUUUUGUUGUGUAUUGACCUUAACAGCUUGCAUUUCAAUUUUCUUGCUUUUUUUAAUGCACUUUUCGUUUAACAAGUCAACAUCAGUUUCUUUUGUUGUAAAAAGGUCAUUGGAAGGUGGCUUUCUUUUCGGAGAAAGUGUUUAUAGCUUUUGACUCCUGCAAUCGGAGAGACUGAGGUCUGCAGCGUAGAUCCUUCGGGGUUAGAUACAUUUGUGCUAAGUUAUAGCUUUUUAUAGACAACUUGUUGACUAUGAUUAGUCUUGUAGCUUACUCGCUUAUGCUAUUUUACCUACGCUUAGGAUGUUGAGCGCAUGUCUCUCUCU